GUGUCAGCAGCCGCGGUAAUACAGAGGUCCCAAGCGUUGUUCGGAUUCACUGGGCGUAAAGGGUGCGUAGGUGGUGAGGUAAGUUUGAUGUGAAAUCUCCGGGCUCAACCCGGAAAUGGCAUUGAAUACUAUCUCGCUUGAGAGUCGGAGGGGGGACUGGAAUACUUGGUGUAGCAGUGAAAUGCGUAGAUAUCAAGUGGAACACCAGUGGCGAAGGCGAGUCCCUGGACGACUUCUGACACUGAGGCACGAAAGCUAGGGGAGCAAACAGGAUUAGAUACCCUGGUAGUCC
This 292-nucleotide ribosomal RNA is filed under the name uncultured bacterium. Its description in RNAcentral is "partial 16S ribosomal RNA". It matches the Rfam family "Bacterial small subunit ribosomal RNA", at positions 505 to 796 of the family's 1533-position model. The record is from RNAcentral.